UAGGGAAUCUUCCGCAAUGGACGCAAGCCUGACGGAGCAAUGCCGCGUGAGUGAAGAAGGAUUUCGGUUUGUAAAACUCUGUUGUUAGAGAAGAACAGCGCAUAGAGUAACUGUUAUGCGUGUGCCGGUAUCUAACCAGCAAGCCACGGCUAACUACGUGCCAGCAGCCGCGUUAAUACGUAGGUGGCAAGCGUUGUCCGGAUUUAUUGGGCGUAAAGCGAGCGCAGGCGGUCAAUUAAGUCUGAUGUGAAAGCCCCCGGCUCAACCGGGGAGGGUCAUUGGAAACUGGUUGGCUUGAGUGCAGAAGAGGAGGGUGGAAUUCCAUGUGUAGCGGUGAAAUGCGUAGAUAUAUGGAGGAACACCAGUGGCGAAGGCGACUCUCUGGUCUGUAACUGACGCUGAGGCUCGAAAGCGUGGGUAGCAAACAGG
This 429-nucleotide ribosomal RNA is filed under the name Bacteroidota bacterium. RNAcentral describes it as "Bacteroidetes bacterium partial 16S ribosomal RNA". It matches the Rfam family "Bacterial small subunit ribosomal RNA", at positions 355 to 776 of the family's 1533-position model. The record is from RNAcentral. Lineage: Bacteria; Pseudomonadati; Bacteroidota.